AUUGAACGCUGGCGGCAUGCCUUACACAUGCAAGUCGAACGGCAGCACGGGUGCUUGCACCUGGUGGCGAGUGGCGAACGGGUGAGUAAUAUAUCGGAACGUACCUUAUUGUGGGGGAUAACGCAGCGAAAGCUGUGCUAAUACCGCAUAAUCCCUAAGGGGGAAAGCGGGGGACCGUAAGGCCUCGCGCAAUUAGAGCGGCCGAUACCUGAUUAGCUAGUUGGUAAGGUAAAGGCUCACCAAGGCAACGAUCAGUAGCUGGUCUGAGAGGACGAUCAGCCACACUGGGACUGAGACACGGCCCAGACUCCUACGGGAGGCAGCAGUGGGGAAUUUUGGACAAUGGGGGCAACCCUGAUCCAGCAAUGCCGCGUGAGUGAGGAAGGCCUUCGGGUUGUAAAGCUCUUUUGUCAGGGAAGAAACAGCAGCUCUAACACAGUAUGCGAAUGACGGUACCUGAAGAAUAAGCACCGGCUAACUACGUGCCAGCAGCCGCGGUAA
This 501-nucleotide ribosomal RNA is filed under the name uncultured bacterium. Its description in RNAcentral is "partial 16S ribosomal RNA". It matches the Rfam family "Bacterial small subunit ribosomal RNA", at positions 30 to 523 of the family's 1533-position model. The record is from RNAcentral.